Non-coding RNA from Marasmius sp. AFHP31, 90 nucleotides. Lineage: Eukaryota; Fungi; Basidiomycota; Agaricomycetes; Agaricales; Marasmiaceae. The record is from the annotation of a GenBank genome assembly.
UCCGAUGUGGUGUAGUGGCUAACAUUGCUGUCUUUCAUUUGCAUCCAAUUGAAUCCACAGCAGCCCGGGGUUCGAUUCCCCGCAUCGGAA